GCCUGAGAAACGGCUACCACAUCCAAGGAAGGCAGCAGGCACGCAAAUUACCCAAUCCCAGCCCGGGGAGGUAGUGACGAAAAAUAACAAUGCGGGACUCUUCCGAGUCUGCGUAAUUGGAAUGAGCACACUUUAAAUCCUUUAGCGACUAACAAUUGGAGGGCAAGUCUGGUGCCAGCAGCCGCGGUAAUUCCAGCUCCAAUAGCGUAUAUUAAAGUUGUUGCGGUUAAAAAGCUCGUAGUUCGAAGUCAGUUCCGGACUGGCUGGGGUAACACCGCCCGGUGCUGCCCCGUCAGGCUCCGAACAGCUUUUAUGACUAAAAGCCAAGCCGGUUUCGCCGGGGUGCUCUUCACCGAGUGUCCCGCGCGGCCGGCCAGUUUACCUUGAAUAAAUGAGAGUGCUCAAAGCAGGCUACUCUUAAAAAUAAAGCCCGAAUGUUACCUGCAUGGAAUGAUGGAAGAUGAUCUCGGUUCCAUUUUAUUGGUUGUGGGAAUCCGAGUUAAUGAUAAACAGGGACUGUCGGGGGCAUCCGUACUACGACGCGAGAGGUGAAAUUCAGUGACCGUCGUAGGACGAACAACAGCGAAAGCAUUUGCCAAGAAUGUCUUCGUUGAUCAAGAACGAAAGUUAGAGGAUCGAAGGCGAUCAGAUACCGCCCUAGUUCUAACCCUAAACGAUGCUGACUAGCAAUUCGCCGUCGUUAUUCCCAUGACGUGGCGAGACGCCCCCGGGAAACCUCAAGUCUUUGAGUUCCGGGGGUAGUAUGGUUGCAAAACUGAAACUUAAAGGAAUUGACGGAAGGGCACCACCAGGAGUGGAGCCUGCGGCUUAAUUUGACUCAACACGGGAAACCUCACCAGGCCCGGACACCAGAAGGAUUGACAGAUUAAGAGCUCUUUCUCGAUUUGGUGGGUGGUGGUGCAUGGCCGUUCUUAGUUGGUGGAGUGAUUUGUCUGGUUAAUUCCGGUAACGAACGAGACUCUGGCCUACUAAAUAGUCGACGUGGGUUUUGGUGCAUGGGCCCCGUUCGAUAAUGUCUUCUUAGAGGGAUGAGCAGCGAGUAUAGCUGCAGGAGAUUGAGCAAUAACAGGUCUGUGAUGCCCUUAGAUGUCCUGGGCCGCACGCGCGCUACACUGAAUGGGUUAGCGGGUCUUCCUUCUCCGAGAGGAGCGGGAAAUCGCGUGAAAACCAUUCGUGAUAGGGAUUGGGGCUUGCAAUUGUUUCCCAUGAACGAGGAAUUCCCAGUAAGCGCAAGUCAUCAGCUUGCGUUGAUUAAGUCCCUGCCCUUUGUACACACCGCCCGUCGCUACUACCGAUUGAAUGAUUUAGUGAGGCCUUCGGACUGGCGGUCUUGGACUGGGUUUCACUCGCCGUUACUCCAGCGAUGGGGGGCGGUGAACCCGCCACGACGAGCCGGAAAGAUGUCCAAACUUGAUCAUUUAGAGGAAGUAAAAGUCGUAACAAGGUUUCC
This 1471-nucleotide ribosomal RNA is filed under the name Heterocarpus woodmasoni. Its description in RNAcentral is "SSU rRNA". It matches the Rfam family "Eukaryotic small subunit ribosomal RNA", at positions 394 to 1804 of the family's 1831-position model. Lineage: Eukaryota; Metazoa; Arthropoda; Malacostraca; Decapoda; Pandalidae. The record is from RNAcentral.